GUACAGGCCCAAUAUUGCCCGGGCCCAUAAACAAAUAAAAUAUAAUAGCCCAACAAAUAAUUUCACAAGCCCAGACCCAAUAGGCCUAAAACUAACCCUAGCCCAACUACCCAAAUUGUUUCAGCAACCCUAGCCUCUUUCUUCAGCCGCCGCUCACCUCACGCAUGCUGAACCACCGCGCAUGCCACCUCGGCCACCAUGCCCCUGACCGUCGCCUAUUCCACGCGUCGCAUAGCACCUACAAUGAAAGCAAAUACAAAGGCAAAAGAAAGCACGUGAAUGAUGGGGGAAGAAAUAAACAAAAGAGCAAACACAAAAUAAAAAUGAAAGAAAAGUUUUGUAGAUCGGCUUUAAAAAGCCAAAAUCUUAUCUUUGUAAAAAGAGGACAGACUGUACUGAAGGGGGGGAACUGAUUGUAUUUGAGGAGGGAUUUUCAAUAUUCAAAAAGGGGGGGAUUGUAUUUCGAAAAAAGAAAAGGAAAAAAAUAGAGAACACCCAAUACAAAAAAUCAAUCAAAAACCAAAACUUUAAAGGUGAUUCCUCUUUUGUUUCAUUUUUUUCUUUAAAAUCUCUGUUGCUUUUAUUUUCUUUUAUAUUUUUUUUGUUUGAAUAAAAAUAAUAAAAAUAAAACAAAAAGAGUAGAAAAAGGAGGGUACUCACCUUCGUUGGCCUCUUCGUCGCCGGAAGAAAUCCGUUCGCGCAACGCUGGCCACUGGCCCACAACG
Molecule: long non-coding RNA, 725 nt
Filed under: Gossypium barbadense (sea-island cotton)
Lineage: Eukaryota; Viridiplantae; Streptophyta; Magnoliopsida; Malvales; Malvaceae
Description: long non-coding RNA (GBAR_LNC001317)
Source: RNAcentral